UGGCUCAGAAUGAACGCUAGUGGCAGGCUUAACACAUGCAAGUCGAGGGGUAACGAUGGUGCUUGCACUAGGCGACGACCGGCGCACGGGUGAGUAACGCGUAUGCAACCUACCCAUAACUUGAGAAUAGCCCGAAGAAAUUCGGAUUAAUACUCAAUAAUAUUUCUUAGAGGCAUCUCUUUGAUCUUAAAGUUCCGACGGUUAUGGAUGGGCAUGCGUGCCAUUAGUUUGUUGGUGAGGUAACGGCUCACCAAGUUGACUAUGAUGGCUAGGGGGUCUUAAAGGAUGGUCCCCCACACUGGUACUGAGACACGGACCAGACUCCUACGGGAGGCAGCAGUGAGGAAUAUUGGUCAAUGGGCGAAAGCCUGAACCAGCCAUGCCGCGUGCAGGAUGACGGCCCUAUGGGUUGUAAACUGCUUUUAUACGGGAAGAAACACCCCUACGUGUAGGGGCUUGACGGUACCGUAAGUAUAAGCAUCGGCUAACUCCGUGCCAGCAGCCGCGGUAAUACGGAGGAUGCAAGCGUUAUCCGGAUUUAUUAGGUUUAAAGGGUGCGCAGGCGGAAAUGUAAGUCAGUGGUGAAAUCCUACAGCUUAACUGUAGAACUGCCAUUGAUACUGCUUUUCUUGAGUGUAGUUGAGGUAGGCGGAAUGUGUAGUGUAGCGGUGAAAUGCGUAGAUAUUACACAGAACACCGAUUGCGAAGGCAGCUUACUAAACUAUUACUGACGCUCAUGCACGAAAGCGUGGGGGGCGAAC
This 761-nucleotide ribosomal RNA is filed under the name uncultured Bacteroidota bacterium. Its description in RNAcentral is "bacterial SSU rRNA". It matches the Rfam family "Bacterial small subunit ribosomal RNA", at positions 20 to 773 of the family's 1533-position model. The record is from RNAcentral. Lineage: Bacteria; Pseudomonadati; Bacteroidota.